AGAGGAAUAGCUGGGUCAAUUGGUGGUUCCAUUCCCAGCUUUCCAAGGAAUCUCCAUACUGCUUUCUAAAUUGGCUGCACCAAUUUGCAGUUCCACCAGCUAU
Molecule: microRNA precursor, 103 nt
Filed under: Marmota monax (woodchuck)
Lineage: Eukaryota; Metazoa; Chordata; Mammalia; Rodentia; Sciuridae
Source: RNAcentral